UUAAGCGACUAAGCGUACACGGUGGAUGCCCUGGCAGUCAGAGGCGAUGAAGGACGUGCUAAUCUGCGAAAAGCGUCGGUAAGGUGAUAUGAACCGUUAUAACCGGCGAUGUCCGAAUGGGGAAACCCAGUGUGAUUCGUCACACUAUCGUUAACUGAAUACAUAGGUUAACGAGGCGAACCGGGGGAACUGAAACAUCUAAGUACCCCGAGGAAAAGAAAUCAACCGAGAUUCCCCCAGUAGCGGCGAGCGAACGGGGAGCAGCCCAGAGUCUGAAUCAGCUUGUGUGUUAGUGGAACGGUCUGGAAAGUCCGACGGUACAGGGUGAUAGUCCCGUACACCAAAAUGCACAGGCUGUGAACUCGAAGAGUAGGGCGGGACACGUGGUAUCCUGUCUGAAUAUGGGGGGACCAUCCUCCAAGGCUAAAUACUCCUGACUGACCGAUAGUGAACCAGUACCGUGAGGGAAAGGCGAAAAGAACCCCGGCGAGGGGAGUGAAAAAGAACCUGAAACCGUGUACGUACAAGCAGUGGGAGCACCUUCGGGUGUGACUGCGUACCUUUUGUAUAAUGGGUCAGCGACUUAUAUUCUGUAGCAAGGUUAACCGUAUAGGGGAGCCGCAGGGAAACCGAGUCUUAACUGGGCGUUAAGUUGCAGGGUAUAGACCCGAAACCCGGUGAUCUAGCCAUGGGCAGGUUGAAGGUUGGGUAACACUAACUGGAGGACCGAACCGACUAAUGUUGAAAAAUUAGCGGAUGACUUGUGGCUGGGGGUGAAAGGCCAAUCAAACCGGGAGAUAGCUGGUUCUCCCCGAAAGCUAUUUAGGUAGCGCCUCGUGAAUUCAUCUUCGGGGGUAGAGCACUGUUUCGGCUAGGGGGUCAUCCCGACUUACCAACCCGAUGCAAACUACGAAUACCGAAGAAUGUUAUCACGGGAGACACACGGCGGGUGCUAACGUCCGUCGUGAAGAGGGAAACAACCCAGACCGCCAGCUAAGGUCCCAAAGUCAUGGUUAAGUGGGAAACGAUGUGGGAAGGCACAGACAGCCAGGAUGUUGGCUUAGAAGCAGCCAUCAUUUAAAGAAAGCGUAAUAGCUCACUGGUCGAGUCGGCCUGCGCGGAAGAUGUAACGGGGCUAAACCAUGCACCGAAGCUGCGGCAGCGACACGAUGUGUUGUUGGGUAGGGGAGCGUUCUGUAAGCCUGCGAAGGUGACCUGUGAGGGUUGCUGGAGGUAUCAGAAGUGCGAAUGCUGACAUAAGUAACGAUAAAGCGGGUGAAAAGCCCGCUCGCCGGAAGACCAAGGGUUCCUGUCCAACGUUAAUCGGGGCAGGGUGAGUCGACCCCUAAGGCGAGGCCGAAAGGCGUAGUCGAUGGGAAACAGGUUAAUAUUCCUGUACUUGGUGUUACUGCGAAGGGGGGACGGAGAAGGCUAUGUUAGCCGGGCGACGGUUGUCCCGGUUUAAGCAUGUAGGCUGGUUGUCCAGGCAAAUCCGGAUAAUCAAGGCUGAGGUGUGAUGACGAGGCACUACGGUGCUGAAGUAACAAAUGCCCUGCUUCCAGGAAAAGCCUCUAAGCAUCAGGUAACAUCAAAUCGUACCCCAAACCGACACAGGUGGUCAGGUAGAGAAUACCAAGGCGCUUGAGAGAACUCGGGUGAAGGAACUAGGCAAAAUGGUGCCGUAACUUCGGGAGAAGGCACGCUGGUGUGUAGGUGAAGUCCCUGCGGAUGGAGCUGAGACCAGUCGAAGAUACCAGCUGGCUGCAACUGUUUAUUAAAAACACAGCACUGUGCAAACACGAAAGUGGACGUAUACGGUGUGACGCCUGCCCGGUGCCGGAAGGUUAAUUGAUGGGGUUAUCCGUAAGGAGAAGCUCUUGAUCGAAGCCCCGGUAAACGGCGGCCGUAACUAUAACGGUCCUAAGGUAGCGAAAUUCCUUGUCGGGUAAGUUCCGACCUGCACGAAUGGCGUAAUGAUGGCCAGGCUGUCUCCACCCGAGACUCAGUGAAAUUGAACUCGCUGUGAAGAUGCAGUGUACCCGCGGCAAGACGGAAAGACCCCGUGAACCUUUACUAUAGCUUGACACUGAACAUUGAGCCUUGAUGUGUAGGAUAGGUGGGAGGCUUUGAAGCGUGGACGCCAGUCUGCGUGGAGCCAACCUUGAAAUACCACCCUUUAAUGUUUGAUGUUCUAACGUUGGCCCCUGACCGGGGUUGCGGACAGUGUCUGGUGGGUAGUUUGACUGGGGCGGUCUCCUCCCAAAGCGUAACGGAGGAGCACGAAGGUUAGCUAAUCCUGGUCGGACAUCAGGAGGUUAGUGCAAUGGCAUAAGCUAGCUUGACUGCGAGCGUGACGGCGCGAGCAGGUGCGAAAGCAGGUCAUAGUGAUCCGGUGGUUCUGAAUGGAAGGGCCAUCGCUCAACGGAUAAAAGGUACUCCGGGGAUAACAGGCUGAUACCGCCCAAGAGUUCAUAUCGACGGCGGUGUUUGGCACCUCGAUGUCGGCUCAUCACAUCCUGGGGCUGAAGUAGGUCCCAAGGGUAUGGCUGUUCGCCAUUUAAAGUGGUACGCGAGCUGGGUUUAGAACGUCGUGAGACAGUUCGGUCCCUAUCUGCCGUGGGCGCUGGAGAAUUGAGGGGGGCUGCUCCUAGUACGAGAGGACCGGAGUGGACGCAUCACUGGUGUUCGGGUUGUCAUGCCAAUGGCACUGCCCGGUAGCUAAAUGCGGAAGAGAUAAGUGCUGAAAGCAUCUAAGCACGAAACUUGCCCCGAGAUGAGUUCUCCCUGAGACUUUAAGUCUCCUGAAGGAACGUUGAAGACGACGACGUUGAUAGGCCGGGUGUGUAAGCGCAGCGAUGCGUUGAGCUAACCGGUACUAAUGAACCGUGAGGCUUAACCUU
This 2900-nucleotide ribosomal RNA is filed under the name Klebsiella pneumoniae. RNAcentral describes it as "bacterial LSU rRNA". It matches the Rfam family "Bacterial large subunit ribosomal RNA". Lineage: Bacteria; Pseudomonadati; Pseudomonadota; Gammaproteobacteria; Enterobacterales; Enterobacteriaceae. The record is from RNAcentral.